UACGUAGGGGGCAAGCGUUAUCCGGAAUUACUGGGUGUAAAGGGAGCGAAGACGGUAAUGUAAGUCUGGAGUGAAAGGCGGGGGCCCAACCCCCGGACUGCUCUGGAAACUAUGUUACUAGAGUGCAGGAGAGGUAAGCGGAAUUCCUAGUGUAGCGGUGAAAUGCGUAGAUAUUAGGAGGAACACCAGUGGCGAAGGCGGCUUACUGGACUGUAACUGACGUUGAGGCUCGAAAGCGUGGGGAGCAAACAGG
Molecule: ribosomal RNA, 253 nt
Filed under: uncultured bacterium
Lineage: Bacteria
Description: partial 16S ribosomal RNA
Rfam family: Bacterial small subunit ribosomal RNA
Source: RNAcentral